This 491-nucleotide ribosomal RNA is filed under the name uncultured bacterium. RNAcentral's name for it is "partial 16S ribosomal RNA". It matches the Rfam family "Bacterial small subunit ribosomal RNA", at positions 29 to 506 of the family's 1533-position model. The record is from RNAcentral.
AGUGAACGCUGGCGGUAGGCCUAACACAUGCAAGUCGAACGGCAGCACAGUAAGAGCUUGCUCUUACGGGUGGCGAGUGGCGGACGGGUGAGGAAUACAUCGGAAUCUACUUUUUCGUGGGGGAUAACGUAGGGAAACUUACGCUAAUACCGCAUACGACCUACGGGUGGAAUCAGGGGAUCUUCGGACCUUGCGCGAUUGAAUGAGCCGAUGUCGGAUUAGCUAGUUGGCGGGGUAAAGGCCCACCAAGGCGACGAUCCGUAGCUGGUCUGAGAGGAUGAUCAGCCACACUGGAACUGAGACACGGUCCAGACUCCUACGGGAGGCAGCAGUGGGAAAUAUUGGACAAUGGGCGCAAGCCUGAUCCAGCCAUACCGCGUGGGUGAAGAAGGCCUUCGGGUGGUAAAGCCCUUUUGUUGGGAAAGAAAAGCAGCAGGUUAAGACCCCGCUGUUCUGACGGUACCCAAAGAAUAAGCACCGGCUAACUUCGU